CUAAAGGCGGUGCUCCAGUAUGGCUGCAGUCAAAUGACUGAAACGAGUAAAAGAGUAGCCAGGACAAUGAUGGAUUAGAAAUAGUUCAGGUAGCUAUUACCUCUAAAUGACAAUAAGGCUUUCCCUUUCAGCGUGAAAGGCAGAUUUUUCUAAUGCUUGCAUGGUAGUGAAUGUGGGCCUUGAAUCAGACGUGUGAAGGACAGAAAGAAAUGAAGCUGCAUGUUCUGUUGGAUGGAUAAUGCUAGUGUACAUGAACACUUGGAUACAAAUGAGCUGAGAGAAAAACUGGAUCAUCAUCAUCAUCAUCAUCAUCAUCAUCGUCUAACGUCCGCUUUCCAUGCUAGCAUGGGUUGGACGGUUCAACUAGGGUCUGGCAAGCCCGAAGGCUGCACCAGGCUCCAGUCAGAUCUGGCAGUGUUUCUACAGCUGGAUGCCCUUCCUAACGCCAACCACUCCGAGAGUGUAGUGGGUGCUUUUAUGUGCCACCAACACAGGUGCCAGACGAGGCUGGCAGACGGCCACGCUCGGAUGGUGUUUUUUAUGUGCCACCGACACAGGUGCCAGACGAGGCUGGCAAACGGCCACGCUCGGAUGGUGUUUUUUAUGUGCCACCAACACAGGUGCCAGACGAGGCUGGCAAACGGCCACGCUCGGAUGGUGUUUUUUAUGUGCCACCGACACAGGUGCCAGACGAGGCUGGCAGACGGCCACGCUUGGAUGGUGUUUUUUAUGUGCCACCAACACAGGUGCCAGACGAGGCUGGCAGACGGCCACGCUCGGAUGGUGUUUUUUAUGUGCCACCAACACAGGUGCCAGACGAGGCUGGCAAACGGCCACGCUCGGAUGGUGUUUAUAAAAGAAAUUCAGUGUAGUGUACAAGUGAGAAUGCUGCAUCAGUAUGUGCAUGUGAUGCAUAUGGAGAAUGACUGCUGCAUAAAGAAGUGCUAUAAGAAGUUCCAAGUUAAUGGAACCUGUGGGAAAGGGAGACCAAGGAAGACUCGGGGAUGAAGUGAAGGCUGAUCUGAAGAUAUUGCAUCUCACAGAGAGAAUGACAACCAUGCUGAUUGGUGGUAUGUGAUACUACAGAACACCUGACCACCUGCAGCAAAACCUACUCAAACAUGCAUUGUAUCUCUUCCUAACAACCAUCACCUUACAUCCUCUGAGCUCCCUCUAUUCAUUCUUCCACUAGGUCUCUCGAUCAAAGAUUGUAUUGGUUCAUACUUGUCCUAUAUAUAUAUAUAUAUAUAUAUAUCAUCAUCAUCAUCAUCAUUUAGCAUCCGCUUUCUAUGCUAGCACGGGUUGGACGGUUCAACUGGGGUCUGGGAAGCCAGAAGGCUGCACCAGGCCCAGUCUGAUCUGGCAGUGUUUCUACGACUGGAUACCCUUCCUAAUGCCAACCACUCCAUGAGUGUAGUGGGUGCUUUUUAUGUGCCACCCGCACAGUAUAUAUAUAUGUGUAUUUUAUGCUUCAGCCCAAAGGGUGUGGCCAUGCUGGAGCAUAUGUAUACACACACACACACAUACCCAUACAUACAUGUGUGUGUGCGUGCAUGUCUGUGCACCAUAUAGUAGGUAACUUUGGAAAUAUACUUUUUCCACCAGGAAAUAAUUAUAAUAUCAGGAAAUAAUUAUAAUUUAACUUUUAACAAAUUUUUUUGGUGCUUAUACAAUAUCCGAAAGGAAUAUUAAUGUUCAAAAGAAAAAUAUUUAUUACUUUAAAAUAAAAUUAAAUAAAACAAAUUUCUCGUUUCUAUAACUCCUCUCAUAAUUAGUCAUUUAUUUCUUCUUCUCCUCCUCUUCUGUCUCUAUCAUUCUACCUCUCUUAUUCAGUGUGUAUAUGUGUAUGUAUGGUGUUCCUCUGUUCAUUGCCUGCCACCAAGCCUUCUAUGCGCAUUCAUUCUGCACCUCAUAUGUCAGCUUUCUCUGUAUCUCUGUUUUACUUUCAUCACUUUAUAUUCUGAGUUUAAAUCCUGUUGAGAUUUAAACUCUACUUUGAUUUUCUCAUAGUUUUGAAGUCAAGAAAGUAGCCAUCAAAUAAUCGACUGAUCUCUUACCCUCAAAAUUAUUGGUCUUGUAUCUAACUCAAAAAACACUACUAUUAGUAUUAUUACGGGUGGCAGGAUCAUAUGAGCAUUGAAUAAAAUGCCUUGCAGUAUUUCAUCCAAUUCUUUAGGUUCUGAGUUCAAAUUGUACUGAGGUCAACUUUCUCUUUCAUCCUUUGGGAGUUGCUUAAAUGAAUUACUAACCAAAUACUGAGAUCAGUGAACUAUAUGAUGUAAAGUGUGAUUGGAGAAAUCAAGCAACAGAUUAACAUUUAUGUUGGCUAUUAUAUAUGUUUAUGUAUAUACCCAUGCACACAUCUGUAUCAUUUACAUGCACAUAUCACACACACACACACACACACACACACACACACACACACACACACACACACACACACACAUAUAUGUGUAAAGAACUGUACACUUCGUCAACCUGGAGAAAGCCUUUGACAGUGUUCCUUUCUCUCUGAUCUGGUGGUCAUUGGUGAAGCUAAGGGUAGACGAAUGGCUGCUGAGAGUCAUUCAAGCCAUGUACAGACAUGCUGUUUGUCAGAUAAAUGUUAGCAGAGAGUAUGAUAGCAAAUUUAGUGUGCAAGUAAGAGUUCACUGGGUUCAGCUCUCAGUUUCAUCCUACUCAUCAUAGUCCUUCAGACCAUAACAGAGGAACUUAAGACUAGGUUCUUGUAGGAACUCCACUAUGCUGAUGAUUCUGCUCUUAUAGCUGAAUCUGUCAUAGAAUUAGAAAAAUUCCAUGUGCAGAAGCGAAACCUGGGAUCAGAGGGCCUUAAAUUUAACUUACCAAAGUUUUACUUGGCAAGAAAACAGACAGUACACUAUUUCCUUCAGGAAAAUGACCAUGUUGGUAGAGAUUUCAUAUGAUGUGCCCAGAGCAAAUUAUAAAUACAUAAGGUGUGUAAGUGGAAUCAUAUGAUGCUUGACAGAGAGAACAAAGAUUGUCUGUGGCAGAUGUGCUGGAGUAAUAAGCAGUAGGAACAUCCAGAAAAUAGAUUUCUUAAAUGCCCAUGUGGCUCCUUAGUGGAUAGUUUCUGUCACCUAGAUUGCCUUAUUAACUGUGGAGGAGGAUGUUUUGAGAGUGUAGUUGUUAGAAUAGGACUAGGUGGAGAAAGUUCAGAGAGCUAUUAACUUUGCUAGUAACAUAAGGCCUCUCACUCAGAGUGACAGGCAGUUUGUAUGAUGCUUGUGCAUGAACAGCAGUGCUUAUAUGGUAGUGAAAUGUAGGCCAUAAAUGCAGAAGACGUGUGAAGACUAGAGAUAAAUGAAGCUAGCAUACUUCACUGGAUGUGCAGCGUUAGUGUGUGUGUGCAACAAAGUGCAAAUGUGUUGAGAGAAAAUUGGGCAUAAGAGGCAUCAGAUGUAGUAUGCAAAAGAAAAAAUAAAUUGCACUGGUAUGGUCAUGGGAUGAGUAUGGAUGAUGACAGCUGCAUAAAGAAGUGAUGAUUGCUAAAUGUGGAUGAAACCUGUGGAAGAAGGAAACCCAGGGAAAUCAGAUGCAAAAUAGUGAAGGCUGAUUCCAGGUUGUUGAGCCUCUCAGAGGAGAAGACAAGAGACUGAGAUGAAUGAUUUAUCAUGCCUUGAGAAAAUCCAUCCAUCUUAGCCAAAAAAAUGAGGCCCUGAAAACAUAUUGUUCAUGUCUAUGCUACUUGCACUCCAUCAGUGCUUGUCAGGCCUUCCCCACUACUUCACUUUGCAACACCUAUCCUUCCUUCACUUUCUGACUGUAGUACUAUUUAUUCUGCUGCUGUAAUUAUAUGUGAACAGAACCCCACAUAUUUCAUCCCUAUUUUUGUGCUACUAGUUAUCCCUGAUUUGUCACCCAUCCCACAUUCUCAACAUUUUGUCGAUCACAUUUAUCUGUCCAAUUAAUAUAGACGGACUAAAAACGAUGCAAAACCUUGUGGCUUAAAUAUGCCUUGAUAGGAAUUUUACUUGGUGAAUAUGUUUUUAAACCUGUCUUAACAUUCAAAACAAUCUUACAGCAUUUCCAUUUGAUUCUGGAUAAUAUAGAUGUAUUUUCAUAGGUUUAAAUGUGAUCUUAUUUAGCCAUGUAUCCAAGCCAUUAUUUAGAAAUUGUGUGGUAAGUAGCUUGUUUACCAACCACAUGGUUCCAGGUUCAGUCCCACUGCGUGGCAUCUUGGGCAAAUGUCUUCUACUAUAGCCUUGGGCCGACCAAAGCCUUGUGAGUGGAUUUGGUAGACGGAAACUGAAAGAAGUCCAUUGUAUAUAUGUGUAUGUGUGUGUGUUUGUGUGUCUGUGUUUGUCCCCCUAGCAUUGCUUGACAACCGAUGCUGGUGUGUUCAUGUCCCCGUCACUUAGCGGUUUGGCAAAAAGAGAUCGAUAGAAUAAAUACUGAGCUUACAAAGAAUAAGUCCCGGGGUCAAGUUGCUUGAUUAAAGGCGGUGCUCCAGCAUGGCCGCAGUCAAAUGACUGAAACAAGUAAAAGAGUAAAAGAGAGAGAGAAUGUCAGAUACUAAAGUUUCUGGAACACCAUUUCUGGCAGACAUAGUUCUUAGUAUUUUCCUGAUUCCACUUUUUUUUAUUCAUAAAUCUUAUUACUUUUAGUUACCCAGAUUUUGUAUCCACAAGUAUUAAGAGUAGUUUUUAAUUCUUGACAUAAGUAUAUAUUAUUCACUUGCACAUGUAUCAAUGUUUUAAUUCUUUAAUUGCAUAAUUAAAUUUCAUAUUUAUUCCAGCAACGAUAUUAAAUAUCUACUGAAAACUAGAAUUGGCAUUUUCUACAAGUCAAGGUGACUCAAUAAACUUGACAUAUCUCAUCAUCAUCAUCAUUGUUUAACAUCCGCUUUCCAUGCUGGCAUGGGUUGGACAGUUUGACUGAGGGCUGGCGAGCCAGAAGGCUAGACCAGGCUCCAAUCUGAUCUGGCAAAGUUUCUACAGCUGGAUGCCCUUCCUAACGCCAACCACUCCAAGAGUGUAGUGGGUGCUUUUAUGUGCCACUGACACGAGAGCCGGUAUGGCAUUGGCUACGCUCAGAUGGUGCUUUUUAUGUGCCACCUGCACACGAGCCAGUCCAGUGGCACUGGCAACGUCCAUGCUCGAGCUCAGUGGCAAAUAAUUUCCACCAUGACAAAAGAUAGAUUGAUGCAUAAAACUACUUUCUGCAGUUAAGAGUAAUAAAAAUUUUGAGUGGAUAUAUACUGAUUUUCAUGGUAAAAGGACUAAUUUCUUUAGGUCAUACUUGCACCAUGUGAAGUAAUUCUGAAUUUAUUCUAGCAUUUACCAAACAUCUUCUCACAUAAAUAUUCAACAUCUUCAGUUACUUGACCCCUAUACUUCUCAUUACAACUUAUUCCUUGUUCAAACACAAUACACAUCACCAAAAUGCUCCCUAACAGGCUGAUGGAACAUUAUCCCAUCAUCAACUGUUACUCUAAUGAAAAGUGUGCUAAAUGGUCCUUUACCAAUUCAACAAUUACUCCAAUUAUUAUUAUUAUUGUUAUUAUUAUUAUUAAAAUUUCAGUUUAAUGUAUCCCCAUAUAAAAUAUUACCAUUGGCAGUCUUCAACUUUAUAUUUUUAUAAUGUCAGUUUCUACCAGGUGAUAUUCCAACCAUGAUAACUGUUUCUGAUUGAGAUACAAUGUCUGUAGUUUGAGGCACAGGGUAUUAGUUAGUACCACAAAACCCAGUAUUUGACUGAUAUUUUAUUGAUCCCUAGUGGGACGAAAUCAAAGUUGACCUUGGUAGAAAUUGAUCUCAGAACAUAAAGUGUUGGAAGAAAUACUACAAGAAUUUUGUCUGGCUCUCCAAUGAUUCUGCCAGUUUUCUACUUAACAUUCUUGCUACCAUAUUUCCAUUGAGAUGCUCUGUGUUUCUUUCAAUUUUAAAUAUAACAAAGAAUUUAAUAAAUUAACUUAGUUAUCAUUAAUCUAGUGUUAGGAACAUAAAUUGUGACUAAGGUUUGGUGGAAGAUUUUAAUUCAGAACUUUUGAAAACAAGAUAUUUGUACUCCAGGGGCAGUUUCAGGCAGAUUGGUAUCAAAAGGGUUAAUUCUAAUUAUGAUAAUGCAUCAACAUGUUAAAUUUCAGAUGUCUUUACACAAGAUCUUUCAGAAUCUGUUGCUCUUCUUUCAGUAAUACAAUCUUAAAACACAUGCAACUAUUACUUUCAGUAAACCAUAAUUUUUGCUAAAAAUAAAUCCUAACAGCUCUUUUUGUUCAUUUACAUACUUCCUGCGAGUGGUUCUUGGUUUUUUUUUUCUAGAAUUAUCCAAAUGCACUAUUAAGGGGAGAUUUAUUAUUUUUAACCAGCAUGGUUAUUGUUGUGUCACACUAAGUUUAUCUAAAUAAAGCCACAGUCACAUGCAGUCUUCUACAUGAGGAAGUCUUGUUCAAUUGAUCAGCCAAGUUCUCUGACAUUGAACUACUAGUCACCUUCAAUAAUUUUUAUCAACUUGUAAAAUACAUACACUAAUACAACAAUAUCACCAUAAGAAUAACACCACAGAAAUAAUAUCAAAGUUUUAAUGUUAUUCAUUUACUAGGUUUUUUUUCUCUUUUGUAAUUGUUCUAUUUUUGCCUGUUUUUUUUUUCUUUGAGAAGCUGGGAAAUUGAAUAUUCGUUACUUAAUCUGUGUGUGCAUAUAUGUGUGUGACCUCGUGUGUACCAUUGGCGAUUUUUUUCCUCUCUCUUCCCUUCUCUGGAUCUUUCCUUCUCCUAUGUUUCCGACGAAGAGCUCCGCUCGAAACGUUAAACCCUCCUUCUUCCCUUCUUUCCUGAGCGUCCUCGCGUUGUUGUGUUUUUUUGUGUUUUCUUGUUUGGAUUAACUAUAUAUAUAUACUUGAACAUAUGCAGUGUGUGUGUAUGUAUGUAUCUGUGUAAACCUCUGUGUGUGUAAACCAGUGUAUCAAGUUGUGUCCCUUUAUGUCAAAUAUGUAUCUUAGCCGGUUGAUUAAUAAAGGUAUAUAAAAUAAAUACCAAACUAAUAUAAGUAUUGGGAGUUGAUAUGAUUGACUAAAACUGUUGAAGUUGGUACUCCUGUAUGGACUCAGAGAGAGUGAGAGAGAGAGAGAGAGAUGGAUGGAUGGCUAUAUUACCUCACACAUAUGCACAUGCACACUCACACAUAUAUAUAUAUGUAUACUUACUAUGAAUGGGAUAGUUUUUGUUAUAAUGUUUGUCCUUCCUCUUACUUACCACUCACCUGUGAAUUAAUUGCAGAACCUAUUGGCAAUCAAGCAAGAAACAUUGCUAUGCAUCUUAUUGACUGUGCCAAAAGUUUGAACUUAAGACCUUGUGGUUAGCAGUCCACCACCUGAACCCCGCGGCUGUUUAUACAAUUGUGCUUGUAAACAGAAUGCAGAAUAAUCAUCCAUGACUUUGAUUUCCUCUUUGAAAAAUUCUUUAUUCUCAACUCUUAUAACGGAUACAAAUAUAUAAUUCAUUAUGUGCAGUGUUGCACUAGUAAUUUAUGUGCAGUGUUGCACUAGUAAUUUAUGUGCAGCGUUGCACUAGUAAUUCAGAUGCAGUAUCAUGUGCAGAGCUCAUGUUCCUGACAGAUGUUGAUCAAAAUCAAAGUUCAUGCAUUGUAAUAACUACUGGGUGGGCAAUUCCAUCUGCCACAACUUUGCUAAAUCAAGAUAGAUAGGACUCUUUUCUAUAAUUGCUUCUCUCUUUCUCAAUUAAGUCAGACAUUCAUAAAACACACACACAUUAUAUACAGGGCCUCAAAUCAGUCAUUGUAGAGCUUGUAUCAAAUGAUUUUACUUCUGAAAUGGGGUCAUACUGUGCAGCCAGAGGUGGACUGCUGGGUUUGUAUAUUACUUUAACUUGAAAUAUGCUAAUGGCUUUUAAAAAAAGGUAUAUUGACAUUGAAAGCAAACUAUUAAUAUCUCUUCCUUCAGAUUAAUUGUAAAGAAAUCACACAAUUAUAUUUUAUCUAUAAAAAAAACCCAAAAAUUAAAAAUGAAUUUGUAAUCUAUAAUUGGUUUCUUAACUAACAAAUGAAAUGUUUCUGUUCUAGAAGAUAUUUAGAUUUCAUCUCAAUGGAAAUAAUGUAUUUCUUUGAAAGAAAGUUAAUUCUGAUGCCUACAAUCAAAAUAUUGAGAAUAUAUAGUGUUGUUUGGGUUCUGUAAUAUACCAUAUAAAUUUCCAGAUUGCUUAGUUGGCAGAAUACUAGAAUACAAUUUGCCAAUGCACUAAAUUCUCAGAAUCCCUGACCUCUUACUAUAAAUUGGUUCACAGAGAAAUGUAACUCAUAACUGUAGGCAGGAACAUUGUAAAAUUGAGGACUGAUUUGUUAGCUUGCUGUGUUUAAUUUAGUUUCUUUGGGGGAGGAAAUGAGCUUUGACAGACUGCAUUCUCUUACAAUUAAUGUCUUUGGUGAUGCUCUAUGACCGACUUUAGUCAUUGGAAUGCCUCUCUCUCUCUCUCUCUCUUGCCCAAGCUCAACACAAGGUUCUUUGUAUAUUACAAGUAUUCACAAGUGUAUUUAUGUGUGAAUUUAUAAAUUAAAUUUCUAAAUUUUGUUUUGAUUUAAAAUUUUUGCCACUCAUUUUCAAUAUUGGGUUUAAUAUAAUAAAUUACAUUAUUUAUUCCGUUCUAAUAUUUGUAACAACUUUGUUAUGUUUAUUUUGAAGGAAAAGAUAUAAAGCACAAACAAAAUCAGUUUUGUCAUCUACAAUUCAUAUUCGCUAUUUUAAAUACUACUUCAUUUUUUUCCCCUUACUAUGUUUCAAAAACAUGACAACACCAGCACUCACUAAUUUAUCACAACAUAAGCUUCUUUAACAAUUAGAAACUUCACUUCCACCCUUAUUGGUUACUAUUACACAUAGAGGUAUCAGCAUGUACAAGUUGCUCCAAUGACACAUCACAGUGCCUGCAAAAAGAGGAGAAUCAUAUGCACUGGUAUGAGCCAAAAUUUUAUUGCAUAGUCUUCUCGAGUCUUAAGUAUUCAGUUCUCUUCUGCAUAAGUGUUGCUUUAUAAACCCUCUUAUUUUUUAUGGAGAACUGUUUGGAGUAAUGAUGAUGACAGCUUUUAAAAUAGUAAUCUUAUACAUUUUGCAGUAAUAAUGAUACUAACUGGUUCCAUUAGGACAAUCUCAACAAUAUCCUAAAUUAACUUUUUAUGUCUUUUGUGUUUGCUCCCUUGAAAUAUGUCAAAACAAAAAUAUAUCAAAAGUAAAAAAAAGUAAAUGAAAAGUGGUAUUGGUGCUAAUGUCACUAUGAUUUUGGUCUGUUUAAUGAAAUUAUUUUUAAUUUAUCUCAUAAAAUAACUAACUCAAAAUGAUUGCUGUAUUUACUAUUUUUGUUUGAUAAAAAUCUUUUUUAAAUGUUUUAGUUUGAUAAAAAAACAUUUACUCUCUCUAACUAUCUAUACACACACACAUAUUUGUGUGUAUGUAUAUAUAUGUGUGUAUGUAUGUAUAAACACACACACAUAUAAAUAUAUAUAAAAUUGGUGUUGCCCAUGGUGUUGCCAUUCCAUGGAAUGUUUUGCCUGAUUGAAUGCAAAACAAAGAAAAAGAAAGCUUUCUUAUAAAUAGUACAAAAAAUGCACAUUUACUACUUGCAUUUGACAAAAGACAUUUCUAACUAUUCUUUAUCUAAAAAAAAAUCAAUAUCUCUGAAGGAUAAUCUUUAUUCUUUUAUCAAUAUAUUCCCUUCUCUUGAUUUAAUUUGGCUCUUUGAUCUCUCUUCUUAUUUAUUAUUUUUAUUUUAUAAUCAUAUUUUUCUUUUACCUUCAGCCACAGUGUUCACUUUUGUAACUAUACUACAAUACCUAUGUCUCUGAUACCUGCCUUUACCCCUUACUAGUGGUGACUCAUCACUGGUGUUCUUUUUUCUUUAUCAUCAUCACCAUCAUCAACAGCAAGCUGGUAGACCGACAGACAGACAUGCCAGAGUGCUGGACUAAAUGCCUUGCAAUAUCUAGUUUCAUCUGCCAAUGUUCUGAGUUCAAAUGCUGCUGAAGAUGAUGUUUUAUUUUUUGGUUUUUUAUUUUGCCUUUCAUCCCUCCAGUGUUGAUGAAAUAAGUACCAGUCAUAUACUAGGUCGAUUUAAUCAACUAUGAUCCCUCCCUUAAAAUAUCUGUGGCUAUGUGCCAAAAUGAGAAAUCAUCGUCAUUAUCUUGAUGUUUUGAGAAGUACUCAUCUCACAAGAACUGAUAGCCAAUUGGGUAAGGUAACUGGACACUACUUAGUCUCUGGUAUCAAAAGUUCAAUCCCAUUACAAGCAAUGCAAUGUAUUCUUGAGCAAAACACUUCCUUCUACUUGCCGAAGUUAUCAUAACUAAUUAAUAACUCCUGAUGACUAUAUCAUCACUAUCACAAUCGACCAUUACUAUUAUAAUUCAUUACCAUUAUAAUCAUCAUCAUCAUCAUCAUUGUCGUCAUCAUUAUGAUCCUCAUUGACACACAAUUAAGUGUUGAACAUCUGAUUCCUGGCCAAUAUGUUUGUAUCCCACUAUGGGCAUUGUGUCGGUGUUUAUACAGAGUACCUGAUUGCUUAUGUCUAAGGUAUCACAUCUUCAUUAUCAUAAUCAUCAUCACUAUGAUCAUGAAAAUGAUACUUAAAAGAAACCCUUUAUAAACACCAAUCUUUUCUUCAUUGAGUGAAAGCUUAAAAAACAAAUUUAAAUAAUAGUAAAGAUAAAUACUAGUAAUGAUAAGGAGGAUGGUAAUGAUGACUACAAUAAAAAUUUAUAAAAAUGUCUGUAUACGAGUAAUUAAUUUAACUAUUUUUUUUGUCAUGUUAACUAAAAACUCAUUUUGGUUUUCAAAUUGUAAAAUAUUUAUAUUAUUUAUAUCAAUUUAGUAGCAAGAAAAUAGCUGCUGGUGUGAUCCUGUUUUUUUUAUUUUUUGUUUACUUGUUGUUGCUCUGUGUGUGUGUGCGUGU
This 10915-nucleotide long non-coding RNA is filed under the name Octopus vulgaris (common octopus). The record is from RNAcentral. Lineage: Eukaryota; Metazoa; Mollusca; Cephalopoda; Octopoda; Octopodidae.